RNAcentral lists this ribosomal RNA (383 nucleotides) under uncultured bacterium. Its description in RNAcentral is "bacterial SSU rRNA". It matches the Rfam family "Bacterial small subunit ribosomal RNA", at positions 28 to 416 of the family's 1533-position model. The record is from RNAcentral.
GACGAACGCUGGCGGCGUGCUUAACACAUGCAAGUCGAGCGGUAAGGCCCUUUCGGGGGUACACGAGCGGCGAACGGGUGAGUAACACGUGGGUGACCUGCCCUCAGCUCUGGGAUAAGCCUGGGAAACCGGGUCUAAUACCGGAUAUGACUCCAUGACGCAUGUUGUGGGGUGGAAAGCCUUGUGCGGCUGAGGAUGGGCCCGCGGCCUAUCAGCUUGUUGGUGGGGUGAUGGCCUACCAAGGCGACGACGGGUAGCCGGCCUGAGAGGCGACCGGCCACACUGGGACUGAGACACGGCCCAGACUCCUACGGGAGCAGCAGUGGGGAAUCUUGCGCAAUGGGCGAAAGCCUGACGCAGCGACGCGCGUGAGGAUGACGGCU